Molecule: ribosomal RNA, 253 nt
Filed under: uncultured bacterium
Lineage: Bacteria
Description: partial 16S ribosomal RNA
Rfam family: Bacterial small subunit ribosomal RNA
Source: RNAcentral
UACAGGAGGCCCGAGCGUUAGUCGGAAUCACUGGGCUUAAAGGGUGCGUAGGCGGGCCUGUAAGUAUCUCGUGAAAUACCUCGGCUCAACCGAGGAAUGGCGGGGUAAACUACAGGUCUUGAGGUAGGUAGGGGUUGCUGGAACGCUCGGUGGAGCGGUGAAAUGCGUAGAGAUCGAGCGGAACGCCGAAGGUGAAGACAAGCAACUGGGCCUAUCCUGACGCUGAGGCACGAAAGCGUGGGGAGCAAACAGG